Molecule: transfer-messenger RNA, 402 nt
Filed under: Bacteroidales bacterium
Lineage: Bacteria; Pseudomonadati; Bacteroidota; Bacteroidia; Bacteroidales
Rfam family: transfer-messenger RNA
About the family: Bacterial tmRNA, also known as 10Sa RNA or SsrA, is named for its dual tRNA and mRNA-like properties. Its role is to liberate the mRNA from a stalled ribosome.
Source: RNAcentral
GGGGGUGUUCUGGUUUUGACAUCAGAUUAAUUGGUCGGCAAGCGUGCCGAGCGUUGGGAGCCGCGCUCGUUAAUCAAUGACUUUCAGCCAUUAAUUGGCAACACUAAUGUUAGACUCGCUGCGUAAUCAGCCAAGCUGACACGCUUAAUCCUUGAGGCACAAGGUGCCUCGGACGAGUAUCCCGCCAGGUGUUUUCCGUCUUCUUGGAUCUGGCAUAUGGGGUAUUAUCUAAAGAAGAAUGCGGGGGGUGACUCCUUUAAGCCUUCUUAAGUUUUAAAGGAUAAGCUGCGGAAUUGCCCGCUUCGGGGCAGUCUUCAGACGAAAAACAAACCGAAGAUACGCACGUAGAAAACCGGUUGGUGGUCUGGUUGGACAGCGGUUCGACUCCGCUCACCUCCACUA